This 67-nucleotide transfer RNA is filed under the name bovine gut metagenome. It matches the Rfam family "tRNA". Rfam says of the family: Transfer RNA (tRNA) molecules are approximately 80 nucleotides in length. Their secondary structure includes four short double-helical elements and three loops (D, anti-codon, and T loops). The record is from RNAcentral.
CCUGUAGCUCAGUUGGAUAGAGCAUCGGAUUUCUAAUCCGGCGGUCGGGGGUUCGAGACCCUCCAGG